RNAcentral lists this ribosomal RNA (253 nucleotides) under uncultured bacterium. RNAcentral describes it as "partial 16S ribosomal RNA". It matches the Rfam family "Bacterial small subunit ribosomal RNA", at positions 524 to 776 of the family's 1533-position model. The record is from RNAcentral.
UACGGAGGGGGCAAGCGUUAUUCGGAAUUAUUGGGCGUAAAGGGCGCGUAGGCGGCUAGAUGUGUCAAAGGUGAAAUCCCUCGGCUCAACUGAGGAACUGCCUUUGAAACUGUCUGGCUUGAGGCCGGGAGAGGGUAGCGGAAUUCCCAGUGUAGCGGUGAAAUGCGUAGAUAUUGGGAGGAACACCAGUGGCGAAGGCGACUACCUGGCCUGUUCUUGACGCUGAGGCGCGAAAGCUAGGGGAGCAAACGGG